AUAAGAAACCUGAGCAACUUCCUGAAGAGCAGCUGUACAAAAUAAUCACUAGUAGUAGGCACAUAAAGAACUUCACAUAGCCUUUCCAGAAUAACACAAAGUACCUUUGUGUGAGGCACUGUGCUAGGUUAUUCAUAGGGAUCCUCUCAUUUAGGUCUCCUAACAGUCUCAGUGCUAGGUAUUAUUAUCCUGUUUUGCAAGUGAGGAAAUGACUUAGGCAGCUGAGCACAGGUUCCAGUCUAAUAAAUUCAAAGCCACCAAGAAACAUUCAAUAUUGCCUAAUGAAUUUACAUUUCUCUAAUCAAGUUUCCACAGUGCCUCUUUCAAAACUUACCCCCUUAUCAGCCAGCUAACAAAACCAAAUAUGUAUUCAUCUUAUACUAAUAUAUGUUCAUUUGUAUGCAUUGUAUAUAUUCUAUACACAUUCAAAUUUUUGGGUAUAAAAUGAAGUUGCUUAUCUCCUUUAAGCCUAAUUUUCAUCAAUUUUAGCCUGUCUCUAAAAAACCUGACAAUGUCCUCUGUCCUUUCACUCUCUUGUAUUUUCAGUCCUCUCAAAAGAAGAUGCUAGCUUUGGUUUUGAUUUUCCUAAUAUCAUAGUAAAGUUUCCAAUAUACAGAAAACUGGAAAAAAUUGACAGUAGUCAUACCAAUAUUUUACAAUGAAAUUUAACUAUAUUUGCUUUAUCAUAUAUCUAUCCCUCCACUCCUAUUAUGGUUUUGCUGCAUUUCAAAGCAAGUUAUAGACAUCAGUACAUUUUCUCCCAAGCCUGUUAGCAUGUGUGUGUGUGUGUGUGUGUGUGUGUGUGUGUGUGUAUAUAUAUCAUUAAUAAGCUAGUUUAAUAAAGGAAGAAAAAUAUAUAACAGGCAAAAGCAAAUAAAAGGAUGGAAGAAAAUUAUUUGUAUUAUACAAAAUGAUUGUUUUCCUAGGAAACCUCUAAAUAACAAUUUCUUUAACAAAUGAGUGAAUUUAGUAAGAUGACAAGAUAUAAAAUUAAUGUAUAGAAAUCAAUUCAUUUUUAUUUAGUAGGAGUAAACUAUUGGAAAAUAAAGUUUUAAUAAUUGAUUCAAUUUAUAAUAUAUCAGAAAACCCCCAAAUAAUAUGUAAUAAGUUUAAUAAACCAUAUUCAAGACCUAUAUAUUGAAAAUAAAUUGUUAAGAGAAAUUAAAGAACACCGUAUAAAUGGAGGAAUUUGUCUUGGAUUUGAAGACACCAAUAUCAAGAUGUCAAUUCUUUCUAAAGUGAUCUAUGAUUUAUGUUCAUAUAUUACAUCUACAACCUUGUAAAACUUAUAGUACAAUAUUAUUUUUGCUUUAAAAACACUUCCAAGUACAUUCAAAAAAUUAAAAAUGGGCUGCCUGGGUGGCUUAAUCAGUUAAGCAUCUGAUUCUUGAUUUCAGGUCAUGAUCUCAGGGUUGUGAGACCAAGUUCCACGUUGGACAUGGUGCUGGGCAUGUUUCA
RNAcentral lists this long non-coding RNA (1458 nucleotides) under Canis lupus familiaris (dog). Its description in RNAcentral is "lncRNA (ENSCAFG00000050207.1)". The record is from RNAcentral. Lineage: Eukaryota; Metazoa; Chordata; Mammalia; Carnivora; Canidae.